UAUCUUUUAUUUGAUUAAUAAAAAACUAUCAAUCUCAGAUCUGAAGUAAUUAUUGACAGUUUGUAGAAGAGAGUUUUAAACCUUUACCAGCGAUUACAAAUAGAAUUGUUCUUCAGUUUUUCUGCUCCAAGAGGACCACAACCUAGUCAUAGGAGUUGGAGGCUUGCGUGCUUCAAUGUCCCAGAGAUCUACGUUGGCUGGAGUAAGGACUUUAUGCUUUGGCUCUUGGUAGGGCCAUGCCAAAGAGGUCAAAGGCCUAACAACCCUGACUGGUCAAAUAAAAUUGUUACGGAAGCAGCAAUGAAGAAUCCUUCUGCAUCUGAGUGUAACAGUAUUCCUCAGUUUCCACCCGCGACUUGCAUGCCUGACAGUAGGGAAAACUGAGAGGAAGCCUUGAACACUACCAGGGAUGGAAGACCUUCAUUGCUGCCCUGAACUCCAGGGGUGUAGUGGGCAGUCAACGGAGCAACAUAUUUCUCAAUGGAUAUCGAAAUUGAAGAGAUCAAAAGCAUCCUGUUGAUUAUUUCAACAAAGCUUGAUAUAAACUGUAAUUAGUAUUUUUGAUCAUAAAUGAAAAUAAAGAUGUGUUCAUUUUAA
Long non-coding RNA from Hypanus sabinus (Atlantic stingray), 597 nucleotides. RefSeq lists it as uncharacterized. The transcript is spliced from 2 exons. Lineage: Eukaryota; Metazoa; Chordata; Chondrichthyes; Myliobatiformes; Dasyatidae. The record is from RefSeq and is a predicted model, not a curated record.